CAAUAGCGUAUAUUAAAGUUGUUGCAGUUAGAACGCUCGUAGUCGGAUUUCGGGGCGUUCCGACCGGUCUGCCGAUGGGUAUGCACUGGCCGGAGUGUCCUUUUUGCCGGAGACCGUGCCUACUCUUAACUGAGCGGGGGCGGGAGACGGCACUUUUACUUUGAAAAAAUCAGAGUGUUUCAAGCAGGCAGCUCGCUCUUGCAUGGAUUAGCAUGGGAUAAUGAAAUAGGACUUUGGUGCUAUUUUGUUGGUUUCGAACACCGAAGUAAUGAUGAGAAGGGACAGUCAGGGGCACUCGUAUUCCGCAGAGAGAGGUGAAAUUCUCAGACCCGCGGAAGACGAACCACUGCGAAAGCAUUUGCCAGGGAUGCUUUCACUGA
Molecule: ribosomal RNA, 380 nt
Filed under: uncultured eukaryote
Lineage: Eukaryota
Description: partial 18S ribosomal RNA
Rfam family: Eukaryotic small subunit ribosomal RNA
Source: RNAcentral